AGGAGACAUUGAGCAGAGAGACCCACUGAGAGGCAAUUGAAGUAAUCCAAAUAGAAAUGGUGUAGAUGUGACCUAAGGUAGGGACCAGGUGAGUAGAAGAAAGGGGAGAUGGAUGAGAGAGAUGUUGAUGAGGUCAAAAUGACUAGACUUGGGAAGUGAUUGGAUAUAUGGAAAGAGGGGAGAAUGGGGAACCAGAAGGAUGCUGGUGCUCUCUACAGACACUGGUGUUAUGUGUUCUUUGUUUCAAAGGGGACCAGUGACAGCAGGGGGUGUUCUUGUGAUUUGUGCCUGACUUGGAGUUAAGUGAGACAGUGUUGCAUAUAAUUGUCAGCCUUACUCUCUCCUAGAGUCACUGAAGUCCAGUGGCAAGUCACAAGUCAGAACAACAGGCGAUGAUGAUCUGGGAGGCAAUGGAUGAGAUGCCAUAGGAUGUGUCCCAGGGUCCUGCUGCCUCAAAGACUGAGUACAAAGACUGUCCACAAGCCAAAUUGGGAGAUGAGAGUUUUCUAUAUUAGAGCUUUUAGGGUCCAUCAGCAGAGUUUUUUCUCGGUAUUAGUGACAGAGCAUUAAAAUGGCACUACUCUAAAGACUCACUACUACCUGCCCUCCAGAUACUGGAGCCAACAGGACACAGACCAAGGCUGGACCUGGGAGAAGCUGGGAGGAACACUGGCUGCACUAGCUACCCAGCAUGGCCCUUUGCCAUCUUGGGAUCCUGUAGGCUAUUCUAAUUUCUUCAAUAAGCUUUAUGAGUUAUCUACUGGGCUCUACCUUGACUUUUCACCAGGGUUUAUGAAGUAUGAUGAUCCUCAAGACUUCUAGCUCUCUAGUCACCCACCUCAGGACCCCCUCCAUCUUAUCAAUGCCAUCCCUAGAGGACAGUGCCUGGGAAACUAAGCACAUCAUGCCAGAUGGGCUAGAAGGAACAUCUGCCCCAUGUGAGUUAGACUAGUCUUUUUUCAACAAGGGCAAUGUAACCACUUGGGAAUCAAUUGCUCAAAGUUGCUUCCCAGUUGCCUAAAGCCUAAAAAUGCAGACUGGAUUUCCUCCUGAUGUGUGAAUCAGUCACAAUCCUUGAGGUAAAGUGUCUCCAUUAUGAAGAUCGGGUCCAAUUGAGACAUCAUAUCUUUGCUAAGAAGCCUUCUCAUGCUGCUAUUAAGUAUAUAAUGAUAAAUUCCAACUGUAAAGCAUUAUAU
Molecule: long non-coding RNA, 1196 nt
Filed under: Monodelphis domestica (gray short-tailed opossum)
Lineage: Eukaryota; Metazoa; Chordata; Mammalia; Didelphimorphia; Didelphidae
Description: lncRNA (ENSMODG00000042881.1)
Source: RNAcentral